UUCUGGCUCAGGAUGAACGCUAGCGACAGGCUUAACACAUGCAAGUCGAGGGGCAGCAUAGAAGUAGCAAUACUUGGUGGCGACCGGCGCACGGGUGAGUAACGCGUAUGCAACCUACCUAUCAGAGGGGAAUAACCCGGCGAAAGUCGGACUAAUACCGCAUAAACAGGGGCACCGCAUGGUGAUAUUUGUUAAAGAAAUUCGCUGAUAGAUGGGCAUGCGUUCCAUUAGGUAGUUGGUGAGGUAACGGCUCACCAAGCCGACGAUGGAUAGGGGAACUGAGAGGUUGGUCCCCCACACUGGUACUGAGACACGGACCAGACUCCUACGGGAGGCAGCAGUGAGGAAUAUUGGUCAAUGGGCGGGAGCCUGAACCAGCCAAGUCGCGUGAAGGAAGAAGGAUCUAUGGUUCGUAAACUUCUUUUGCAGGGGAAUAAAGUGCAGGACGUGUCCUGUUUUGUAUGUACCCUGAGAAUAAGGAUCGGCUAACUCCGUGCCAGCCGCCGC
This 507-nucleotide ribosomal RNA is filed under the name uncultured bacterium. Its description in RNAcentral is "bacterial SSU rRNA". It matches the Rfam family "Bacterial small subunit ribosomal RNA", at positions 17 to 518 of the family's 1533-position model. The record is from RNAcentral.